Molecule: ribosomal RNA, 406 nt
Filed under: uncultured bacterium
Lineage: Bacteria
Description: bacterial SSU rRNA
Rfam family: Bacterial small subunit ribosomal RNA
Source: RNAcentral
UGAGGAAUCUUCCGCAAUGGGCGAAAGCCUGACGGAGCGACACCGCGUGGAGGAUGAAGGCCUUUUGGUUGUAAACUCCUUUUCUGGGGGAAUAAAUGAUGAAGGUACCCCAGGAAUAAGCACCGGCUAACUACGUGCCAGCAGCCGCGGUAAUACGUAGGGUGCAAGCGUUAUCCGGAAUUAUUGGGCGUAAAGAGUGCGUAGGCUGCUUGACAAGUUUGGGGUUAAAUCUGAUCGCUUAACGAUCAAUCUGUCCUAAAAACUAUCAAGCUAGAGAAUGAUAUAGGCAACUAGAAUUCUGCAUGUAGGGGUAAAAUCCGUUGAUAUGCAGAGGAAUACCAAAAGCGAAGGCAGGUUGCUGGGUCAUUUCUGACGCUGUUGCACGAAAGCGUGGGGAGCAAACAGG